This 465-nucleotide ribosomal RNA is filed under the name uncultured bacterium. RNAcentral describes it as "bacterial SSU rRNA". It matches the Rfam family "Bacterial small subunit ribosomal RNA", at positions 331 to 793 of the family's 1533-position model. The record is from RNAcentral.
CCAGACUCCUACGGGAGGCAGCAGUGAGGAAUAUUGGUCAAUGGGCGCGAGCCUGAACCAGCCAAGUCGCGUGAGGGAAGACGGUCCUAUGGAUUGUAAACCUCUUUUGUCGGGGAGCAAAAGACGCCACGCGUGGCGUUCCGAGAGUACCCGAAGAAAAAGCAUCGGCUAACUCCGUGCCAGCAGCCGCGGUAAUACGUAGGGGGCAAGCGUUAUCCGGAUUUACUGGGUGUAAAGGGAGCGUAGGUGGCGUGCCAAGUCAGGAGUGAAAACCCAGGGCCCAACCUUGGGACUGCUCUUGAAACUGGCAGGCUUGAGUGCUGGAGAGGUAAGCGGAAUUCCUAGUGUAGCGGUGAAAUGCGUAGAUAUUAGGAGGAACACCAGUGGCGAAGGCGGCUUACUGGACAGUGACUGACACUGAGGCUCGAAAGCGUGGGGAGCAAACAGGAUUAGAUACCCGCGUAA